UAAGAAUAUUCCGCAAUGGACGAAAGUCUGACGGAGCGACGCCGCGUGGAUGAUGAAGGCCGAAAGGUUGUAAAGUCCUUUUGCUGGGGAAGAAUAACCAUGGGAGGGAAUGCCCGUGGGAUGACAUGAACCGGCGAAUAAGCCCCGGCUAACUACGUGCCAGCAGCCGCGGUAACACGUAGGGGGCGAGCGUUGUUCGGAAUUACUGGGCGUAAAGGGCAUGUAGGCGGCUCUGUAAGCCCGGCGUGAAAGUCACCGGCUCAACCGGUGGAUUGCGUCGGGAACUGCGGGGCUUGAAUCAUGGAGAGGGAGCUAGAAUUCCAGGUGUAGGGGUGAAAUCUGUAGAGAUCUGGAAGAAUACCAGUGGCGAAGGCGAGCUCCUGGCCAAUGAUUGACGCUGAGGUGCGAAAGUGUGGGGAUCAAAC
This 425-nucleotide ribosomal RNA is filed under the name uncultured bacterium. Its description in RNAcentral is "bacterial SSU rRNA". It matches the Rfam family "Bacterial small subunit ribosomal RNA", at positions 356 to 773 of the family's 1533-position model. The record is from RNAcentral.